CACGAUGUUAUCAUUAUAUUAUGCAGAGCGCCGCCAGUUUAGUUCGCGGACCUGUCUGUAACUCGGUCGUCGACAGAUGGCGCGUCCUACGUUCGCCGCGGAAACCGAAUCCUUGGGCCCACCAAAACUAUCUACAUGCUGUGCUUGAAUAAUGGCGGUUACGAUUUGAAGAAAAAAACUCUGGUUUGUCACCCUUAUCAUUAUGAUGUUCAGAAGUCAAAUGUGGGCAAACACUACCACGGCAGAACGUAGGUGCAGCAGUACUGAUUAUGUUAGCUUAAGCGCUGGCUUGAGAUUUCCGACUGUUUAUCUCGACUGACAUAUCCAUCAAUUCUUUCAAUACAGUGUGAAUUGACAGUGAAUAUUUCAUUUGAAGAUAAUAUUAUAAGAAAAUUUGCUGAGGAAAAAUCCAGAAAAAAGUCGAUGAUACAAAAAAAGAUGGAAAAGUAUUCGGGAUUCGUUUUCUCGAAAUAAGCGGAAACUUGGAACUGAAUCUGCAAGAUUAAAUUUAAAAAAAUGGUUUUUGGCUCCACAUCUUCGCUUUUUGGAAAACAUGGAAAACAAACGACAAACGACUUCAAAUGUUGAACCAGUUGAUGAUGUAAAUCCACAAAAUGAAGACACUGAAGUAAUUGAAACUGUUGAUUGCAGAUGAUUUAUCGCCCAACACAAUAAAGAAUCAAAUCAAACAAAAAAUAUCGUAAUAUUACAUAAAGUAUUAUAAUUGGUGUGGCAACUAAAAUAUAAAAUUUUAUUGAAUUUCGGAAAAUUUAAAAAACUGGCACCUUAAUAGUAAUUUGAAGGUUUUACCUGAUAAUAAUUCACAAACAAUUACUUACUAGAAUAUUUAAGCUAAACCUUAAUAUAGGUAAUGUUUGAUGUUGAUUUAUUUAAUUUAAUGGAAAUUCCCUUCCACAAUUCCCCUUUAAAAAUGAUGUCGUUAUAUCUAGGGUUAGAUAUAUUAUACGGAACAUUAUGCUUUCUUAUUUCUUCAAUAAAUAGUUCAUCCUCAUAAAUCUAAAAUAUUCUAUGUAUAAUAAAUUAUAAGUCAUUGUACGUACUCUCAUUUGUUUUCCACGUUUUUCAAAAAACCAAGAUGUGGAGCCAAAAACCAUUUUUUUUUUAAUUUGAUCUUGCAGAUCCAGUUCCAAGUUUCCGCUUAUUUCGAAAAAACGAAUCCCGAAUACUUUUCCAUCUUUUUUUUUGUAUCAUCGAUUGUUCAAUAUUAUACAUUAUAUUUAUUUACAUUAUAUUUAUUUAAUUACAUACUAGAAUCAAGCUCGUAUCUGAGGGGGGGGGGUCCAGAGGUCUGAACCCCCCGAAAUUUCUUCAUUAUGCCUUAUUUGUAACCGAAUAUAUAAAAACAUAAAUUCAAUAAAAUUACAAUAUACAUGUUUUGGCCCCCCCCCUCCCGAAAAUUAAUUUUAGAUACGGCCUUGAAUAAAAUAUUUAAGUUAGACUUUAUAGGUAAUACUUAAUAAUUUAUAUUGUACUUACAUGAUUUAUUUAAUUUAAUGGAAAUGCCCUUCCACAAUUCAUGUUUAAAAAUGAUGUCGUUAUGUCUAGAGUUAGAUAUAUUAUACAGAACACUAUGCUUUCUUAUUUCUUCAGUAAGUAGUUCAUCCUCAUCGGGGUAAAAGACACGAGCGUGGAGAUGGCACCCCGAACUAUGUUUCUUCGCGGGGGUUGUAAAACAAUGUUGCGAAUUUUUUCAUCAGUGUUGCAAACUGUUUCAAUUAUUUUGCAAAAAGAUGGUACUAGUUUGGUGACGAUACGAUAAAGUCGGGGUGCCAACUUCACGCAUGUGGAAAAGACAGGCUUGGACAUUUAUUUUAUAUUUGUAUAAAUAUUUAUUUUAUAUGAGUAUCUACUGUAAUAAAAGGUACUAUUGGUACCUACUAUAUUAAUAAAUUGUUUUGAAAAAAUA
This is a long non-coding RNA of Metopolophium dirhodum (rose-grain aphid), 1927 nucleotides long. RefSeq lists it as uncharacterized. Lineage: Eukaryota; Metazoa; Arthropoda; Insecta; Hemiptera; Aphididae. The transcript has 5 exons. The record is from RefSeq and is a predicted model, not a curated record.